UACGGAGGGUGCGAGCGUUAUCCGGAUUCACUGGGUUUAAAGGGUGCGUAGGUGGGAAUGUAAGUCAGUGGUGAAAUCUCCGUGCUUAACAUGGAAACUGCCAUUGAUACUAUGUUUCUUGAAUCUUCCGGAGGUCAGCGGAAUAUGUCAUGUAGCGGUGAAAUGCUUAGAUAUGACAUAGAACACCAAUUGCGAAGGCAGCUGACUACAGGGGCAUUGACACUGAGGCACGAAAGCGUGGGGAUCAAACAGG
This 253-nucleotide ribosomal RNA is filed under the name uncultured bacterium. Its description in RNAcentral is "partial 16S ribosomal RNA". It matches the Rfam family "Bacterial small subunit ribosomal RNA", at positions 524 to 776 of the family's 1533-position model. The record is from RNAcentral.